ACCCGCGGGGCUCAGCCCCGAAGGCUGCAGCUUCGGGGGAGGCGCGGUCGCCGAGGUCCAGCUGGUGGGGCGAGAGACGUCGCCCCUCGGAGGAUGCUCUCGGAACUUGGGAGAGGAAGGAGGGAAGAGAAGAGGGGAAAGGGGCCGUCGAUGUUUUUGAUGUCUGUGCUUUAAUGGAGGCCACCAAUAUUGAGAAGACGGGGUUGGCCGAGGCAGCCCGCACGCUGCUGCUUGCGAGCGCUCGAGUCAAAGCUAGGGCCAACCGCGGCUUGUCCGGGUGCCCUAAGGGGGCGGACACUUGGUUUAGCACCGGGACACAGAAUAGCCACCGGGGUAGGAAGAUGCGUUCACUUUGCUUACCUGUUGGCAAGAGGGACAUACAAAAAUAACGUAACGUGACAUCGUUGACAACGGUAGCUCUUUGAUUACACAAAAGCCAAUUUUACCUUCCCGCAAAAGCCAGUUGACGCCUUUGGAACUUUUAUUUGCGGCAUUUUGGCGCCCUCUGGCUGUGUUUGGAUCGCUUUCAUGCUCGCCUGCGUCCCAGCCAAGAAAAAAUCGAUGGAGCUGCAGGUUGUCCUCAGGAUGGUUCUGCCCUCAGGACCUGGGCGUGAAUUCAGGGACAGGGUGGCCCUCCAGAACCGGAGUGACAAACUGUAACCAUACUUAGGGAGGCAGACGUCAAAGGCAAGUACAUCUGUAUUCAACUGGGUAAAGGAAGAGUUUUUCAGCCUGGCGUGGUGGCUCAC
This 749-nucleotide long non-coding RNA is filed under the name Homo sapiens (human). RNAcentral's name for it is "HSALNT0325370". Lineage: Eukaryota; Metazoa; Chordata; Mammalia; Primates; Hominidae. The record is from RNAcentral.